This 571-nucleotide long non-coding RNA is filed under the name Rattus norvegicus (Norway rat). Its description in RNAcentral is "long non-coding RNA NONRATT032129". Lineage: Eukaryota; Metazoa; Chordata; Mammalia; Rodentia; Muridae. The record is from RNAcentral.
CUCUCACGGCUACACUCACCCCUUCUAGGAUGGAGUCUGUGCUUCCCGACUCUGAGCCAAUGGAACCCUCCUUUCUUAAAAUGCUUCUGUGACAGAAUGGGAAACACGACCAGUGCAGUCACUGCUUCCUUCUGCCUUUUGCAGUCUCCUCCCGCCUGGUUCCCUCACAGCCUUCGCAGUCCAAUGUGUCUAUAAGAAAACAGGCUAAAGAUGUCACCUUAAUUCUCCUUUGACUUGUCUCUGGAAAGAGCCUUUUGCUACAUCAGCCCAGAUAGAAGAGUGAAAGAGGAAAAAGAGAAGAGAAGACAGUAGAUGGCCUAGGCAAGGGAUAACUGAAGUUCUCCUUGUAACACAAGCUACUUCCCAAGUUCCUGGAGUCAUUGUGUCCACGGACCCAGACACCCAUCGCCGAUCGAGAGUAUUCCACGCAGGGGAUCGAGUUCCAGCAAGCAGAAGGAUCUUCAGUCACAGAGCACAUUGGGGAACUUACCUGACAUGCUGGACAGAACUAAGAGGUUAGUGAGAAACAAGUGUGUGUGAAUACCAUCCUAUGUCGCCAUCUUCUGGGCAA